GACAGAGGGUGCAAACGUUGUUCGGAAUUACUGGGCGUAAAGCGCGUGUAGGCGGCCCACUAAGUCUGAUGUGAAAGCCCGGGGCUCACCCCCGGAAGUGCAUUGGAAACUGGUGGACUCGAGUCCCGGAGAGGAGAGUGGAAUUCCUGGUGUAGCGGUGAAAUGCGUAGAUAUCAGGAGGAACACCGGUGGCGAAGGCGGCUAUCUGGACGGUGACUGACGCUGAGACGCGAAAGCGUGGGGAGCAAACAGG
RNAcentral lists this ribosomal RNA (253 nucleotides) under uncultured bacterium. Its description in RNAcentral is "partial 16S ribosomal RNA". It matches the Rfam family "Bacterial small subunit ribosomal RNA", at positions 524 to 776 of the family's 1533-position model. The record is from RNAcentral.